UAACUUAAAACUUUAAGAAUUUGGCGGUAAUUUAGUCUUGUCAGAGGAACCUGUUUAAAAUUAAUCGAUACACCUCGUAAUAUCUUACUUAUUUUUAGUUUGUAUACCAUCAUUAUUAGAUAAUUUUUAGAGAAAUAAAUAUUAAAAUUAAUUUGUUAAAAAAAUUAGAUCAAGGUGCAGCAUAUAAAUAAGUUUAAAUGGGUUACAAUAAAUUUUAUUUAGAUGGAAAAGAAUUAGUAAGUUGAAUCUAGGAAAGAGGAUUUGAUAGUAAUAUAGGUUUAACAAGCCUAUAUGAUAGAAGCUCUAAAUUAUGUACACAUCGCC
RNAcentral lists this ribosomal RNA (324 nucleotides) under Geothelphusa sp. SAD-2004. RNAcentral describes it as "partial 12S ribosomal RNA". The record is from RNAcentral. Lineage: Eukaryota; Metazoa; Arthropoda; Malacostraca; Decapoda; Potamidae.